GCUUGCUUCAGCACACAUAUACUAAAAUUGGAACGAUACAAAGAAGAUUAGCCUGGCCCCUGUGCAAGGAAGACAUGCAAAUUUUUGUGAAGCGUUCCAUACUUUU
Molecule: small nuclear RNA, 106 nt
Filed under: Canis lupus familiaris (dog)
Lineage: Eukaryota; Metazoa; Chordata; Mammalia; Carnivora; Canidae
Source: RNAcentral